UGAACCUACCUAUCGUUGCUUCGGCGGACUCGCCCCAGCCCGGACGCGGACUGGACCAGCGGCCCGCCGGGGACCUCAAACUCUUGUAUUCCAGCAUCUUCUGAAUACGCCGCAAGGCAAAACAAAUGAAUCAAAACUUUCAACAACGGAUCUCUUGGCUCUGGCAUCGAUGAAGAACGCAGCGAAACGCGAUAAGUAAUGUGAAUUGCAGAAUCCAGUGAAUCAUCGAAUCUUUGAACGCACAUUGCGCCCGCCAGCAUUCUGGCGGGCAUGCCUGUUCGAGCGUCAUUUCAACCCUCGACCUCCCCUUGGGGAGGUCGGCGUUGGGGACCGGCAGCACACCGCCGGCCCUGAAAUGGAGUGGCGGCCCGUCCGCGGCGACCUCUGCGCAGUAAUACAGCUCGCACCGGGACCCCGACGCGGCCACGCCGUAAAACACCCAACUUCUGAACGUUGACCUCGAAUCAGGUAGGACUACCCGCUGAACUUAAGCUUCAAAACGGGGGGAAGAAACGCUCCCUAACCCUUUCUUGGUGAACCUACCUAUCGUUGCUUCGGCGGGACGCGCCCCAGCCCAGGACGCGGACUGGGACCAGCGGCCCGCCGGGGACCUCAAACUCUUGUAUUUC
RNAcentral lists this ribosomal RNA (629 nucleotides) under Beauveria bassiana. Its description in RNAcentral is "eukaryotic LSU rRNA". The stretch from base 135 to 288 matches the Rfam family "5.8S ribosomal RNA". The record is from RNAcentral. Lineage: Eukaryota; Fungi; Ascomycota; Sordariomycetes; Hypocreales; Cordycipitaceae.